GUGGCGCACGGGUGCGUAACGCGUAUACAAUCUACCUUUUACAGGGGUAUAGCCUUUAGAAAUGAAGAUUAACACCCCAUAGUAUCUAGAUAUCACAUGGUAUUUAGCUUAAAACUUCGGUGGUAAAAGAUGAGUAUGCGUUCUAUUAGCUAGAUGGUAAGGUAACGGCUUACCAUGGCUACGAUAGAUAGGGGCCCUGAGAGGGGGAUCCCCCACACUGGUACUGAGACACGGACCAGACUCCUACGGGAGGCAGCAGUGAGGAAUAUUGGACAAUGGGCGAGAGCCUGAUCCAGCCAUGCCGCGUGCAGGAUGACUGCCCUAUGGGUUGUAAACUGCUUUUAUAUAGGAAGAAACCUUUCCACGUGUGGAAAGCUGACGGUACUAUAAGAAUAAGGAUCGGCUAACUCCGUGCCAGCAGCCGCGGUAAUACGGAGGAUCCAAGCGUUAUCCGGAAUCAUUGGGUUUAAAGGGUCCGUAGGUGGAUAAUUAAGUCAGAGGUGAAAUCCUGCAGCUCAACUGUAGAAUUGCCUUUGAUACUGGUUAUCUUGAAUUAUUGUGAAGUGGUUAGAAUAUGUAGUGUAGCGGUGAAAU
Molecule: ribosomal RNA, 594 nt
Filed under: Winogradskyella sp. I14B-00999
Lineage: Bacteria; Pseudomonadati; Bacteroidota; Flavobacteriia; Flavobacteriales; Flavobacteriaceae
Description: bacterial SSU rRNA
Rfam family: Bacterial small subunit ribosomal RNA
Source: RNAcentral